Molecule: transfer RNA, 72 nt
Filed under: Camelus bactrianus (Bactrian camel)
Lineage: Eukaryota; Metazoa; Chordata; Mammalia; Artiodactyla; Camelidae
Also listed under: 2 other names
Rfam family: tRNA
About the family: Transfer RNA (tRNA) molecules are approximately 80 nucleotides in length. Their secondary structure includes four short double-helical elements and three loops (D, anti-codon, and T loops). Further hydrogen bonds mediate the characteristic L-shaped molecular structure. tRNAs have two regions of fundamental functional importance: the anti-codon, which is responsible for specific mRNA codon recognition, and the 3' end, to which the tRNAs corresponding amino acid is attached (by aminoacyl-tRNA synthetases). tRNAs cope with the degeneracy of the genetic code in two manners: having more than one tRNA (with a specific anti-codon) for a particular amino acid; and 'wobble' base-pairing, i.e. permitting non-standard base-pairing at the 3rd anti-codon position.
Source: Rfam by way of RNAcentral
GAGAGUAUAGCUCAGUGGUAAAGCACAUGCUUAGCAUGCACAAGAUCCUGGGUUCAAUCCCCAGUACCUCCA